RNAcentral lists this unclassified non-coding RNA (262 nucleotides) under uncultured fungus. RNAcentral's name for it is "sequence contains ITS1, 5.8S rRNA gene". The stretch from base 214 to 262 matches the Rfam family "5.8S ribosomal RNA", at positions 1 to 49 of the family's 154-position model. Lineage: Eukaryota; Fungi. The record is from RNAcentral.
UUUCCGUAGGUGAACCUGCGGAAGGAUCAUUAGUGAAUUUUAGGGUGCUCUCUCGCUUUGUUCUUUUAACUAGACGAGCGUAGAGGGGCCUGACCUCCACUUUCUACCCUGUGCACUAGUGGCUUUGGAAAGGAGACUUUACAGUCUCUGGCCCUCUGCCGUCUUUACUAUUAAACACUAGUCAAAGAAUGUCAAAAAAUACAUAACAAAAAAAACUUUCAACAACGGAUCUCUUGGCUCUCGCAUCGAUGAAGAACGCAGC